UACGUAGGGUGCGAGCGUUGUCCGGAAUUAUUGGGCGUAAAGGGCUCGUAGGCGGUUUGUCGCGUCGGGAGUGAAAUCCACUGGCUUAACUGGUGGCUUGCUUUCGAUACGGGUAGACUGGAGGUAUGCAGGGGAGAACGGAAUUCCUGGUGUAGCGGUGAAAUGCGCAGAUAUCAGGAGGAACACCGGUGGCGAAGGCGGAUCUCUGGGCCUUACCUGACGCUGAGGCGCGAAAGCUAGGGGAGCGAACAGG
RNAcentral lists this ribosomal RNA (253 nucleotides) under uncultured bacterium. RNAcentral's name for it is "partial 16S ribosomal RNA". It matches the Rfam family "Bacterial small subunit ribosomal RNA", at positions 524 to 776 of the family's 1533-position model. The record is from RNAcentral.